Molecule: non-coding RNA, 473 nt
Organism: Dipodomys spectabilis (banner-tailed kangaroo rat)
Lineage: Eukaryota; Metazoa; Chordata; Mammalia; Rodentia; Heteromyidae
Source: the annotation of a RefSeq genome assembly
GUCAGUCACAGUCAGCACACUGCAUGGACAUGAGGAUCACUGCUCAGCUCCUGGGGCUCCUGCUGCUCCGCCUCCCAGGUGCCAGAUGUGACAUCCAGAUGACCCAGUCUCCAUCCUCCCUGUCUGCAUCUCUAGGAGACGGAGUUACCAUCUCCUGCAAAAGCCAGUCAGAGUAUUAUCAAUUAUUUAGCCUGGUAUCAACAGAAACAGGGAAUGCUACAAAGCUUCUGAUUUCUUAUGCAACUAGCUUGGCCUCUGGGGUUCCAUCAAGGUUCAGUGGCAGUGGAUCUGGGACAGAUUAUUCUCUCACCAUCAGCAGCCUUCAGCCUGAAGAUUUUGCCACUUAUUACUGUCAACAGAGUAUUAAUUACCCUCCCACAGUGAUACAAGCCAUAAUAAAAAAACGUCCCAGGAAAGCAGACGUGAGAUGCUGGCCUGCCCCAGCUGCUUCUCCUAGUUCCUCUACCUGUUGA